GAGAGUUUGAUCCUGGCUCAGGAUGAACGCUGGCGGCGUGCUUAACACAUGCAAGUCGAACGGGAUCCAUCAGGCUUUGCUUGGUGGUGAGAGUGGCGAACGGGUGAGUAAUGCGUGACCGACCUGCCCCAUACACCGGAAUAGCUCCUGGAAACGGGUGGUAAUGCCGGAUGCUCCGACUCCUCGCAUGGGGUGUCGGGAAAGAUUUCAUCGGUAUGGGAUGGGGUCGCGUCCUAUCAGGUAGUCGGCGGGGUAACGGCCCACCGAGCCUACGACGGGUAGCCGGCCUGAGAGGGCGACCGGCCACAUUGGGACUGAGAUACGGCCCAGACUCCUACGGGAGGCAGCAGUGGGGAAUAUUGCACAAUGGGCGCAAGCCUGAUGCAGCGACGCCGCGUGCGGGAUGACGGCCUUCGGGUUGUAAACCGCUUUUGAUCGGGAGCAAGCCUUCGGGUGAGUGUACCUUUCGAAUAAGCACCGGCUAACUACGUGCCAGCAGCCGCGGUAAUACGUAGGGUGCAAGCGUUAUCCGGAAUUAUUGGGCGUAAAGGGCUCGUAGGCGGUUCGUCGCGUCCGGUGUGAAAGUCCAUCGCUUAACGGUGGAUCUGCGCCGGGUACGGGCGGGCUGGAGUGCGGUAGGGGAGACUGGAAUUCCCGGUGUAACGGUGGAAUGUGUAGAUAUCGGGAAGAACACCAAUGGCGAAGGCAGGUCUCUGGGCCGUUACUGACGCUGAGGAGCGAAAGCGUGGGGAGCGAACAGGAUUAGAUACCCUGGUAGUCCACGCCGUAAACGGUGGAUGCUGGAUGUGGGGCCCGUUCCACGGGUUCCGUGUCGGAGCUAACGCGUUAAGCAUCCCGCCUGGGGAGUACGGCCGCAAGGCUAAAACUCAAAGAAAUUGACGGGGGCCCGCACAAGCGGCGGAGCAUGCGGAUUAAUUCGAUGCAACGCGAAGAACCUUACCUGGGCUUGACAUGUUCCCGACAGCCGUAGAGAUAUGGCCUCCCUUCGGGGCGGGUUCACAGGUGGUGCAUGGUCGUCGUCAGCUCGUGUCGUGAGAUGUUGGGUUAAGUCCCGCAACGAGCGCAACCCUCGCCCUGUGUUGCCAGCACGUCAUGGUGGGAACUCACGGGGGACCGCCGGGGUCAACUCGGAGGAAGGUGGGGAUGACGUCAGAUCAUCAUGCCCCUUACGUCCAGGGCUUCACGCAUGCUACAAUGGCCGGUACAACGGGAUGCGACACGGCGACGUGGAGCGGAUCCCUGAAAACCGGUCUCAGUUCGGAUUGGAGUCUGCAACCCGACUCCAUGAAGGCGGAGUCGCUAGUAAUCGCGGAUCAGCAACGCCGCGGUGAAUGCGUUCCCGGGCCUUGUACACACCGCCCGUCAAGUCAUGAAAGUGGGUAGCACCCGAAGCCGGUGGCCUAACCCUUUGUGGAUGGAGCCGUCUAAGGUGAGACUCGUGAUUGGGACUAAGUCGUAACAAGGUAGCCG
This 1491-nucleotide ribosomal RNA is filed under the name uncultured bacterium. RNAcentral describes it as "bacterial SSU rRNA". It matches the Rfam family "Bacterial small subunit ribosomal RNA". The record is from RNAcentral.